GUGCUAGGAAAGCUAGCCUCCAGGCUAUUUAAGGUUACCACCAUCCCUCGAGGAUGAGCCAAUUCUCCUAAUCCCUUUUUUCUUCUCUCUUGGAUUCUGAAGAUUUCUAAUUAUUGUAUGGCCUAACCUUGGUUGCAUUGCUCUCCAACCUGUCCGACCUAACAAAUCUCAACAUUGAUUAACAGCUGAUUUUUAUGAAACAUUAGUCCAGCUUGGGUCAAAUUAUAGAUAUGAUGAUCAAUGAAGAUCACAUGAGCAUCUUCCAUGUUUUGACCUAACCCAACCCCAAAUUAACAAAUGACCUAAAAUUGAUGGCUCCUUGCUUUGACC
This 330-nucleotide long non-coding RNA is filed under the name Elaeis guineensis (African oil palm). RNAcentral describes it as "long non-coding RNA (EGUI_LNC038432)". Lineage: Eukaryota; Viridiplantae; Streptophyta; Magnoliopsida; Arecales; Arecaceae. The record is from RNAcentral.